CUACUCCCCAAACCACAGAACCACUCUGUUACUCCCAUAGCCACAUCCCCCCCUCUCCCUUUGCUUAUCCCGGCUAACACUGUGCCCGUUGGCAUCAUGGCCUCCUCUCGCCCGCCAUCGGCGAAGCUUCUCGAUCUCGAUCUAACCAUAGUUUCCGCCAAGCACCUCAAGAACGUCAACUGGAAAAACGGCGACCUCAAGGCCUACGCCGUCUUCUGGGUGGAUCCCGAUCGGAGGCUCUCCACCAAGUCCGAUGACUCCGGUUCUACCAAACCCGUUUGGAACGAGCGCUUCACG
This 297-nucleotide unclassified non-coding RNA is filed under the name Hevea brasiliensis (rubber tree). Lineage: Eukaryota; Viridiplantae; Streptophyta; Magnoliopsida; Malpighiales; Euphorbiaceae. The record is from RNAcentral.